RNAcentral lists this long non-coding RNA (1822 nucleotides) under Homo sapiens (human). Its description in RNAcentral is "HSALNT0119006". Lineage: Eukaryota; Metazoa; Chordata; Mammalia; Primates; Hominidae. The record is from RNAcentral.
AGAUGGUUAAGACAAUCAAUAUGUGACAUGAAAGAAAAAAGGCUAUCUUAGUCUGUUUUCUGUUACCUGAAUUCCAUAAACUGAGUAAUUUAUAAAGAAAAUAAAUGUAUUUAUUUCUUACAGUUCUAGAGGCUGAUAAGUCCAAGCAUAUGGUGCCAGCAUCUGGUGAGGCCUUCUUGCUGUGUAAUCUCAUGGCAGAAGAGUGGAAGGACAAGUGAGCACAUGCAAAAGGGAUUGUACAAGAGUGAAGGCAGUUUUCCUACAGAAACCUUCAAAAAAGGAGAUGCAUCCUUCCUUGUUCCUGGCAGUCUUGCAUUUGAGGAAAUCAGUAUGCUCCAACUUAGACUUAUCUUUUAGUCUCCAGAGGCAGAAAAAAAGCAGAAAAGGUUGUUGAAAUUCUUCACAUUGAUUUCAGGGCAAUGAUCUCAAACGGCGCAGUGGGAACCCGCAAAUUUAAGAGGGUAGUUUCCCUGCACAAGCCCUUUUUUUGCCUGCUGCCAUCCGUGUAAGAUGUGACUUGCUCCUCCUUGUCUUCUACCAUGAUUGUGAGGCCUCCCCAGUUAUGUGGAACUCUAGAGGAAACCAAAGUCAUAGAACAUCUGAACUCUGUCCAAACAUCGGUCGUAUUUCAAAAUUUCAGAGCCUCAGACUUCCAUGAUAAUAUCUGCCUAGUCUUUAGAAGAGUGUAUGGAAGUGUUCAAGAACCUUUCCUGAAACAACUUCUAUUACAGACACUGCUUCUUCAUGGUUAUUCCAUCAGAUUGCAAUCACUUAUAUGUUUUUUUCCACUCUUCCUUAUAUUAUGAGCACUUUUCACGUAGGGGUUCAUCUCUUUAAUAAUCAUAGCUCCCAACACAAUUGUAGGCUUAUAUUAGAUGCUCGAUAAAGAUGAGUUGAGUUAACAUGUAAAGUAAUGAAUGAGUAAGGAAAAAUAGAAUAGUUUCGAAUUAAUGCAUGUUACUGCUACUGUAAAUUUAAUGUUUUCAUUUCUAUUACUAUUUAUAUAUAAAUUUAAUUAAUUGUUAACUUUCUUUGCCAUCCAUACAUCUAUUUAUCUGCUCAUUUGAAAAUCUCUUUCCUGUUUCCUAUUAUUCAAAAUAUUAAAAGCAAAUAUUACUUAAAUAUUUAAAUCACUCUUUUUCCAUGUUAAGUUUCUCAGGAUGCAGAAUGUUGCUGUACACUGAGAAAUAUUAGGCGAUACAAAAUGGCUACUAUAACGUAAUGUUCUAGAAAAUGAUAAAAGUCAAACCCAUUGGUUUUUGCUGCCAACACAAGUUUGUCAAUGUAAUUAAUGCCCUUUAGCCUGGGAGGGUUGUAUGACAGGAAAAAUGGCAUCAAAGCCAUUUUUAUUUAAAAAAUAAAUUUAAUAUUACUUGAUAAUAAGGGAGCUAUAUAAGCAAAAAUCUUAGAAUUUUCUUUUUCUUUUUUUUCCUUAGUUUCACAUCUUUCUACAUAGUAUCCAAAUCCCAGUUGUUGAUACUAAUUUUCUUGCCUUCUUACCCUUAACAAGUUUGGAGACAAAGUUAAUAUCAUUAGUAGUAUGUAAACUAAUUCCUAAAGCAAAAGUCUCUAAAAGUGUGAUCCAUGUCCCAUUUUUUAUUGGUCUGCAAUGAGGUAAGCACAGAAAUUUUAAUCACCUCCACGCAUACCUUCAAUGAGCAACAUGUACAGUUUUUUGAGACUCUUCUCUCUUUUCCUGUUAUUUUCUGAUUGCAUUUAUAAAAAUGCAAUUUUGUGUUUGUUGAAUCUGAUGAUAAAAAAUGAGGAAACACCGCAUAUUCUCACUCAUAGGUGGGAAUUGAACAAUGAGAUCACAUGGACA